AUUAUCAUGUGUACGUCAGCGUGAAUGGUGUUUCUGCAGUGGGUUUUGAAAAUAUUCAUGGCACUUCCACGUUCAGUAGCGGAUAUGGUUCUACACCCACCAUUCAAAGUCUCAGCCCACAUUCUGGUCUUCCAGGGACUGUGGUGACAAUCCGAGGAAACAUUUACACUGAUGUGUAUGGAAGCAAUGCUGAGAGUCAGAAACCACGAUUUGUUAGG
Paramisgurnus dabryanus is the source of this 218-nucleotide non-coding RNA. The record is from RefSeq and is a predicted model, not a curated record. Lineage: Eukaryota; Metazoa; Chordata; Actinopteri; Cypriniformes; Cobitidae.